RNAcentral lists this ribosomal RNA (468 nucleotides) under uncultured bacterium. RNAcentral describes it as "partial 16S ribosomal RNA". It matches the Rfam family "Bacterial small subunit ribosomal RNA", at positions 28 to 523 of the family's 1533-position model. The record is from RNAcentral.
GAUGAACGCUGGCGGCGUGCCUAACACAUGCAAGUCGAGCGAUUCUCUUCGGAGAAGAGCGGCGGACGGGUGAGUAACGCGUGGGUAACCUGCCCUGUACACACGGAUAACAUACCGAAAGGUAUGCUAAUACGAGAUAAUAUGCUUUUAUCGCAUGGUAGAAGUAUCAAAGCUUUUGCGGUACAGGAUGGACCCGCGUCUGAUUAGCUAGUUGGUAAGGCAACGGCUUACCAAGGCGAAGAUCAGUAGCCGACAUGAGAGGGUGAUCGGCCACAUUGGAACUGAGACACGGUCCAAACUCCUACGGGAGGCAGCAGUGGGGAAUAUUGCACAAUGGGCGAAAGCCUGAUGCAGCAACGCCGCGUGAGCGAUGAAGGCCUUCGGGUCGUAAAGCUCUGUCCUCAAGGAAGAUAAUGACGGUACUUGAGGAGGAAGCCCCGGCUAACUACGUGCCAGCAGCCGCAGUAA